GUGUUCAACUCAGCAGCAUAUGUAUUAAAUCUGAAACAAUACAGAGAAGGUUAGCACUCCCCCUGUGCAAGGAUGACAUGAAAAUAAUGUUUUCUUUUUU
Molecule: small nuclear RNA, 100 nt
Organism: Rattus norvegicus (Norway rat)
Lineage: Eukaryota; Metazoa; Chordata; Mammalia; Rodentia; Muridae
Source: Ensembl